GUUAUGAAUGCCAACUCAUUCACCAAAGUUGUGAAAUAAUGCAUUCACCAUGCAUUUCACAUGAAAGCCACUUCUUCACAAAAAUUUUGGGAUAAUACAUUCACAACGCAUAUGCAAUUCACAUAAGUGCCUCAUGAUUCAUAAAACUUGUGAAAUAUAAUAAUAUCACCACAAUCAUAUUUCACAUCAUCAAAACACAAAAAUAUAUCUAUAUUCACUCUCCUACCAGUGAGAGAUUCAUAAUACAUGUGUAUUUCACAUUAAUGUCACAUUAAUCAUAGAAAUAAUGAAUAAUGCAAUAUCAAUGCAAACCAUAAUUCACAUAGCACAAAUUAUGAAAUAAUGCAUCCACAUUGCAUAUCAUAUUUUACAGCAAUAAGAAUUCAAGAAUAUAACAAAUUGGAAAAUAUGAUCAUUUGCUCUGAUACCAAUUUGUAACAAUCCAAAAUUUCUAAUUCGGAAGCUAAUUACUAAGAUAGGCCCAAAUUUAUUUUUCUUAGCCAGAUUUCAAGAAAAGAAUAAUCUCAGUUAUUUUAUUAUGGCUACAUCUAACCUCGUUAGACUGUCUACGUGCCAUACGAAGGAAUCAAGUCAUUCGUAGUUCACCAAUUCAAUUUCUAAUUGAUUUCUAAAAAUCAUUCAAGUGACUAACAAUCACUAAUUAGGUUCAAACAAGUGAAUCACACCAAAUGAAUUUCAAAUAUGGAUUCAGAAUGUCAAAAUUAGUUUAAAAGGGCAACCUCUGCCCUCUCGCCACGCGCCGACGUGCGUGACGGUUUCCGGCGAAAGCAAACCCCAAAUUCCGACGAAUUCUAAAAAUUACCAAAUUUUACAUGGUUGUAGAGUUCAAUGAGAAUAACAACUUUCAUCCCUGGGCCGAAGUCCAAUUCGGCCGGGAAACACCUCAAAUCGGCCUCGAAUCGUCGGAAACCCUAGAAAAUGGUGUUCUCGAUUCGCCACCUCCGAUGCCCCGGCGUCCCAACCAAGGCUUGGCCUUUGUUCCUAAGGUUGAGAGAAGA
RNAcentral lists this long non-coding RNA (1019 nucleotides) under Malus domestica (apple). RNAcentral's name for it is "long non-coding RNA (MDOM_LNC012166)". Lineage: Eukaryota; Viridiplantae; Streptophyta; Magnoliopsida; Rosales; Rosaceae. The record is from RNAcentral.